RNAcentral lists this small RNA (1484 nucleotides) under Pongo abelii (Sumatran orangutan). RNAcentral's name for it is "retained intron". Lineage: Eukaryota; Metazoa; Chordata; Mammalia; Primates; Hominidae. The record is from RNAcentral.
UAAAUCAGUAUCUCUGAAUUACAGGAGAGGAAAAAAUAGACGAAAUACUGCUGUCGGUACCACGGUUGCUGGCUCUUGUUUAGCUUCUGAGUCAGCUGGGGCACCCCUGCCAUUCGCUCUCACUGUGGGGCUGGGUGUCCCUGCACUGUGGAACAAGGGCAGGUCGUGUCUUCCCAGAAGGCCCAGCACGGGUGAAGAUUCGGGGGCAGAUUUAUACCAACAUACACUGGCCUAUACAUUGGAUAUGUGCAGGUUCCCAUUCGUUUCCUGGGGAGCCAUGUGUCCCUGAGACCAGAGAGUCUCCUCACCUAGCUCAGACUUGAAUGCUUUUGUUUUUGUUUCAGGGCAUUUGCACGUCAAAGGCAAAGAAGAAAAAAUGUCCAAAUCAUUAAAAAACUACAUUACUAUUAAGGACUUUCUGAAGACCUUUUCUCCUGAUGUCUUCCGGUUCUUCUGCCUGCGGAGCAGCUACCGCUCAGCCAUCGACUACAGCGACAGCGCCAUGCUCCAAGCUCAGCAGCUGCUCCUGGGACUGGGCUCUUUCCUGGAGGACGCACGUGCCUAUAUGAAGGGGCAGCUGGCCUGCGGCUCCGUCAGGGAAGCGAUGCUGUGGGAGAGGCUCUCCAGCACCAAGAGGGCCGUGAAGGCGGCCUUGGCAGAUGACUUUGACACACCCAGGGUGGUUGAUGCUAUCCUGGGCCUUGCACACCACGGGAAUGGACAGCUCAGGGCGUCCCCGAAGAAGCCAGGAGAAAGGCCAGACCGAAGUGACCUGCUGAAGCCUUUGUCUUUUGACAUUGAAUUCGGUUUGCCCACUGCCAUCAAGACUGCUUUUAAGGAGCUUCCGCGGCAUGAUCUCUUACAGGAACCCGGAGGGCCGAGAAGUCCUGCUGUGUUUGGUGCCAUCAUCUCUUACUUUGAACAGUUUUUUGAAACUGUUGGAAUUUCUCUGGCAAAUCAACAGUUGGCAAACUCUUGUGCGCAGAACCAGAGAUGAGUCCAUCUCAGCAACAGUGUCGCCAGCUCUGCACACACAUUUAUGUUGAAAGACUCUCAGAAUGUGCAGAAGUCACAGGCACAUGCGUUUCAGGAGACGGCAGCGAGGCUACCUUGCAUGGUGUGGUGGACGAGCUGGUGCGGUUCCGGCAGAAGGUCCGGCAGUUUGUGCUGGCCAUGCCCGAGGCCACGGGGGACGCCCGGCGGCAGCAGCUCCUAGAAAGGCAGCCCCUGCUGGAGGCAUGCGACACCCUGCGCCGGGGCCUGACUGCCCACGGCAUCAACAUCAAGGACAGAAGCAGUACAACAUCCACGUGGGAACUGCUGGAUCAAAGGACAAAAAAACAAAAAUCAGCGGGCUGAGGAUGGAGCACAGCCACGAACCUGCUCACGACAAGACGCACCCAUGCUCCUCACAGUCAAGGCUUUAUGUUAAAGCUUCCUGUCGGGGCUGCUAGGUCAGCAUUAAAGUAAGGCAACCAACAGUG